Molecule: ribosomal RNA, 464 nt
Filed under: uncultured bacterium
Lineage: Bacteria
Description: partial 16S ribosomal RNA
Rfam family: Bacterial small subunit ribosomal RNA
Source: RNAcentral
ACGCACGCUGGCGGCGUGCUUAACCCAUGCAAGUCGAACGGAAAGGCCCCUUUGGGGGUACUCGAGUGGCGAACGGGUGAGUAACACGUGAGUAACCUGCCCUUGACUUCGGGAUAACUUCAGGAAACUGGGGCUAAUACCGGAUAGGAAUCCUUGCUGCAUGGCGGGGGUUGGAAAGCUUCGGCGGUUUUGGAUGGACUCGCGGCUUAUCAGCUUGUUGGUGGGGUAGUGGCUUACCAAGGCUUUGACGGGUAGCCGGCCUGAGAGGGCGACCGGCCACAUUGGGACUGAGAUACGGCCCAGACUCCUACGGGAGGCAGCAGUGGGGAAUAUUGCACAAUGGGCGGAAGCCUGAUGCAGCAACGCCGCGUGCGGGAUGACGGCCUUCGGGUUGUAAACCGCUUUCAGCAGGGGCGAAGCUUGUGGUGACGGUACCUGCAGAAGAAGCACCGGCUAACUACGUG